AUAAAGACUAUGAAGAGAAGAGUAGAUACAGUUAAUCAGUCAAAGCGAGUCGGUGAUGGUGGAAGGCCGAUACUGAUACUGUAUUGAAGAACAUCUCGGAGUCUCUAACCGAAAUUCUUAUUUAGAAGAGUAGAUUUAGACGGAGCCACACCGUUACAUGUGGGCAAUAUUGAAUUUUAUUUCAGUAUUGGUUGAGGUGGUCAUUGAAUAAUGACAAUUAGGGUGGUACCGCGAAAAAGCUUUUCGUCCCUACA
RNAcentral lists this non-coding RNA (254 nucleotides) under Caldisalinibacter kiritimatiensis. RNAcentral describes it as "T-box sequence". It matches the Rfam family "T-box leader". Rfam says of the family: Uncharged tRNA acts as the effector for transcription antitermination of genes in the T-box leader family. The record is from RNAcentral. Lineage: Bacteria; Bacillati; Bacillota; Tissierellia; Tissierellales; Thermohalobacteraceae.